GUCUAUGGCUAUGCCACCCUGAACAAGCCCGAUGCUGUCUGAUUUUUGGAAGCUAAGCAGGAUUGGGCCUGGUUAGUACUUAGAUGGGAGACCACCUAGGAAGACCAGGUGCUGUAGGCG
RNAcentral lists this ribosomal RNA (120 nucleotides) under Pteropus alecto (black flying fox). The record is from RNAcentral. Lineage: Eukaryota; Metazoa; Chordata; Mammalia; Chiroptera; Pteropodidae.